UACGGGGGGGCAAGCGUUGUUCGGAAUCACUGGGCGUAAAGGGCGCGUAGGCGGCUUUAUAAGUCGGGGGUGAAAGCCUGUGGCUCAACCACAGAAUUGCCUUCGAUACUGUAGAGCUUGAGACCGGAAGAGGUAAGUGGAACUGCGAGUGUAGAGGUGAAAUUCGUAGAUAUUCGCAAGAACACCAGUGGCGAAGGCGGCUUACUGGUCCGGUUCUGACGCUGAGGCGCGAAAGCGUGGGGAGCAAACAGG
Molecule: ribosomal RNA, 252 nt
Filed under: uncultured bacterium
Lineage: Bacteria
Description: partial 16S ribosomal RNA
Rfam family: Bacterial small subunit ribosomal RNA
Source: RNAcentral